RNAcentral lists this ribosomal RNA (604 nucleotides) under Isoptericola sp. RNAcentral describes it as "bacterial SSU rRNA". It matches the Rfam family "Bacterial small subunit ribosomal RNA", at positions 276 to 886 of the family's 1533-position model. The record is from RNAcentral. Lineage: Bacteria; Bacillati; Actinomycetota; Actinomycetes; Micrococcales; Promicromonosporaceae.
CGAACGGGUAGCCGGCCUGAGAGGGCGACCGGCCACACUGGGACUGAGACACGUGCCCAGACUCCUACGGGAGGCAGCAGUGGGGAAUAUUGCACAAUGGGCGAAAGCCUGAUGCAGCGACGCCGCGUGAGGGAUGACGGCCUUCGGGUUGUAAACCUCUUUCAGCAGGGAAGAAGGCUUCGGUUGACGGUACCUGCAGAAGAAGCGCCGGCUAACUACGUGCCAGCAGCCGCGGUAAUACGUAGGGCGCAAGCGUUGUCCGGAAUUAUUGGGCGUAAAGAGCUCGUAGGCGGUCUGUCGCGUCUGGUGUGAAAUCCCGAGGCUCAACCUCGGGCUUGCAUCGGGUACGGGCAGACUAGAGUGCGGUAGGGGAGACUGGAAUUCCUGGUGUAGCGGUGGAAUGCGCAGAUAUCAGGAGGAACACCGAUGGCGAAGGCAGGUCUCUGGGCCGCAACUGACGCUGAGGAGCGAAAGCAUGGGGAGCGAACAGGAUUAGAUACCCUGGUAGUCCAUGCCGUAAACGUUGGGCACUAGGUGUGGGGCUCAUUCCACGAGUUCCGCGCCGCAGCUAACGCAUUAAGUGCCCCGCCUGGGGGAGUACGGA